RNAcentral lists this ribosomal RNA (253 nucleotides) under uncultured bacterium. RNAcentral's name for it is "partial 16S ribosomal RNA". It matches the Rfam family "Bacterial small subunit ribosomal RNA", at positions 524 to 776 of the family's 1533-position model. The record is from RNAcentral.
UACGGAGGGUGCAAGCGUUGUUCGGAAUUAUUGGGCGUAAAGCGCGUGUAGGCGGCUUUGCAAGUCGGGUGUGAAAUCCCUCAGCUUAACUGAGGAAGUGCGCCCGAAACUGCCGAGCUUGAGUACCGGAGAGGGUGGCGGAAUUCCCCAAGUAGAGGUGAAAUUCGUAGAUAUGGGGAGGAACACCGGUGGCGAAGGCGGCCACCUGGACGGAUACUGACGCUGAGACGCGAAAGCGUGGGGAGCAAACAGG